UGAAUUUACUCUAACUCAUGCAACUGCUCGAACCCCGAGAUUCUCAGACUACUUAUAAAUUUCUCCGCUUUGCUGUCUCUUUUUAACUCCCUCUUUUUGAGUGAAUGCUCGUUUCUCCAUGUCUCCUACAUUUUCAGUCCUCAGUGUGACUAUCUCGAUGGUGAUCUAGCCGGAAUUUGGCUCUCUUUGAUCAGGCUCACCUGAAUAUUGCUGUUUAUUAGUAGCCAGAAAUUGUUAAAAAAAGUUGUUUUCAGUCAGUGCAGUGGCGAGUGACCUCACAUAUCCAUUAUUGCUGAGCCUGUUAGCUAGUCAACAAUGAAGAGAAA
Molecule: unclassified non-coding RNA, 326 nt
Filed under: Hevea brasiliensis (rubber tree)
Lineage: Eukaryota; Viridiplantae; Streptophyta; Magnoliopsida; Malpighiales; Euphorbiaceae
Source: RNAcentral